Molecule: long non-coding RNA, 4140 nt
Organism: Triticum aestivum (bread wheat)
Lineage: Eukaryota; Viridiplantae; Streptophyta; Magnoliopsida; Poales; Poaceae
Exons: 6
Source: RefSeq, a predicted model, not a curated record
UUCCAGGGUUUGUCCAAUCAGCUCCUCGCGCGCCGCGCGUGCGACGUGCAGUCUGUGGCUUGGUCGUGGGCGUGAACCCUAGCAUCCACAGCCGCCACACCCCCUCCUCCCCGCCUCGUCUCCUCCCGGCUCCCCCAUCUCUUCUCCCACACCGUCACCUCCCCUCUCCCCACUUGCCUUAGCCACCUCCUAUGCUCCCCCGCACCGCCGGCUCCCUCCCUCGUUAUCUUAGCUAACCCCAUGGCGGCGGCCGGGUCGGGUUGGAGGCAAAAGGCCAUGGGGAAUCUGGUGUCUUUGGGCGCAACAGAGGUUGAUGGAGCUGGCGAUUCGGGCAUGCUCCCGCCCUUAGGCGCUCCACGACGGCGGCCAGUUCGGAGGGAGAAGGCAGAGAGCGAUGGUGAGUCCUGCACCUCUGGGUGGAAGCAGCAGGGUUGGUCGAGCAGUGAAUGUGGUCGGGGUCAGCAGUUGAAGGAGGCUCGCCAGCCGGAGCAGCAGGAGGUGAUUCAGGAGCGCCUCGAGGAGUGGAAGGGGGAGGUCGUGCAGGACAUGCCAACAAGAGCAUUAUAGCAAGGAGGAUAGAAUAUUCGAUCAGCCAUAUAUCUUCUUCUCGAUGCAGCCCCGCAUGAGGAGUCAUUCUAGGCAUCCUGGGGUGAUUCAAGAUGCUCAGGUGUAUCACACUGCAUUCUACACAGACCAGCUCAUGGUGUGAGAAGCAUCUCAUAUGGUUCACCGAAUCAAUUGAUGAAUCUGAAGCGAUUCAAGAGGAGGAGAAAAAAUUGUUUAUGCCUAUAGGUUGUCCGAACUACACCUUUAGUUCUAACUACCUUGUUUGUUCUCCUUCUGUGUGAUAUCACUUUGUUCUGUAUAGUUGUCACUGGGACCUAUAUAUUACUUCUUGCAUGAAUCAUGGAUGUAUGAAGACAUCAUGUCAGAUAUAAUAUAAAGCAAAAUGCAUAUGAAUACUUUCGAUGCAGCCCCGCAUGAGGAGUCAUUCUAGGUAACUUCUUGCAUCUCGGGGAAACAUUGCCAAAUACUUACUGAAGAAAGUGUUCGCUUUCUUGUUCCCAUUGCUCGAUAAGCAUGCUCAUGUUUCUCUCUCUCCAUUUGGAAGCCACUGAUUCAACCAUUUAGUACUUGUUGUUCUGUCGCCGAGUGUUCCCUUAAUGCAUGGCACUUUAGGCAUCCCGGGGUGAUUCAAGAUGCUCAGGUGUAUCACACUGCAUGCUACACAGACCAGCUCAUGGUGUGAGAAGCAUCUCAUAUGGUUCACCGAAUCAAUUGAUGAAUCUGAAGCGAUUCAAGAGGAGGAGCAAAAAUUGUUUAUGCCUAUAGGUUGUCCGAACUACACCUUUAGUUCUAACUACCUUGUUUGUUCUCCUUCUGGAAUUUUAUGUUGCCUUGCAUUCUGCUCAUUUGGCGCAUUUGUUCAUCACAAAGUGGAGGGGAGAGGUCUGGCUGCUACCAAUGGGAAAUGGGUGCCUCUCCAGUCAACCGAGAGACGACAAAUCCAACUGGAAAGGGCUCUGGUGAUCUUCAUGUUAUGAGUAAUUGUUCGUGAUUUUCCUUGCUAACAGUUGUUAUCUUUCAAGCCUACAAGUUUAGCCCUGUAUGCAAUACAACAUUUAAGCAAAUAAUUUGUGCUUUAUCUUUUGAAACGCAUGUGCAGCAUGUUUUUUCUCUUUUAUCCAAGCUACUAUGCAAAAUUGUAUUGUUUUACGGCCAUUUGGUUCAUAGGAGUGAGCUUUGUAGGACUGGGAUAUUACAUGCAUGUGCAGUAUUACAGAUACACAGUUAGCUGUCGAAUGGUUCUUAUUUGUAGUUGUCUUAAAUAUUACUUCAACACACGGUGUUCUCUUCUUGAUUCCUACUGGAAAGGAAGCUAGGCGUCGGCGCACGGCAAUGAUUCGGGUGCCUGCGGCAUGACGGCGUUGCAGAAGCAUGCUUCAUUCUUCGACGGCAAACAAGGACGCAUUUAUUUUCCGUUCAAUUUCUUUUUGUUCCCUACGCUUUUUCUCAGAGAGAUUUCUCUAAGUGAUUCUUUGUUUGAUGUUCGUUGAUUCUAUCUCACGUACAAUUUACCCUCCUUGCAUAUCAGCGUUUCGGGCGCUCGGAUUUGGAUUUGCAGCCUCCACCAUGAGUGCCACCUUCAUCAAUGGCGUCCUUGGCCCCCAGACAAAAUAGUGAUCAGAUGUGAGAUCUGGAACAUUGAAGAGCAACAAUGGACAGAAGUAUUAGAUGAUUUUCGGAAGACAUGGUUGCCUAUGGAGUAUUUUCACGAUUAGGUUUCCAUCACUUGGCUCCUGAAGGCAUGAUGCCUCAUUUUGAUUCUCUUAUCUCGGUGUGUUUGUAUUCAGAAAAUUAAGGCAUGAUGCCUCAUUUUGAUUAUCUUAUCUCGGUGUGUUUUAUUCAGAAAAUAGAUUUACUUAUUUUUGCUUUUUUAGGGCUAUAACAAGAGAAAACUCCAUUGUUGAAAAUCUUUUAAAGAGAUCAAGGAUAAAAAAAUCCAAGUAAACUGUGCUUUACUGCCGUAUUUUUAAUGCACACCUUCUUAAUCUGUGUUGGGACGAUGUUGCUUUUUUUCCAGAAAAUGUUUAUUAGAUGGAAAAUACUCAGCAUUUAAAGUUUUUCCCCAAUUGUUUUUGUGCAUGCAAAUAUGAUCUGAUUUCCUUGCAGCCAAGCCAAUGGACAUGUGCAGAGGGCCGCAAUGAGGCAGACGGCAGCGGGUGGCAGCAAUAGGGGUUGGCGGAUGCUCCGAGACCAUGAAGAGCCUGUUCAAUGGUGUAUUCCCUCCAUGUUCCUUUUUUGGGGGUUCCGUUUCCAGAUUGGCGUGAUGCAAUUCUGAGUUGUUGUGCGUGUGUGUGUUGUGUGAUGCAGAUGAGAAGGAUGACAUAGCGAAGGAGGAUUGCGACAUGGUAGUUCCCACAAUCGCGCAGUUGGAGAGCAUGCACGAGUUCGGUAAACUAUGUAUUCUAUUGGUAUAGCUCUGAAAGGUUAGGAUGCUUUGGGUCACAGCCUGAACUAUGUAUCUCUGGAUAUUAUUACACUUUCUGCAUGCUAUUUCCUAUUUUUUAGACAUCAAUUUCUGUGAAUUGUGGUUGAACUAUGAUACUUUAGGUGGCAUGCUCAACUAUGUGUAGUGUCAUUACCGCUUUCUCCCCUGAUUGUAUUGUCCUUGCCAUGUUAUCCCCUAAAUGUUAACUCUUGCCAUGUUAUUCCCUAAAUUAUUACUCAUUUCUUCUUUUGCCAGUGUUCCGCUUAUGCAUCAUGUAUUCAGUACCAAAAAACGAGGUAUGCUUCUUUACAUUAAACAGUCUUUCCUUCUCAGUAUAUAUGGAAGUAUAUGGGAUGGCUUCCAUAGAAUACUUGUUUCUGUACUAUAUACUAGAUGAUAAUUUCCUUGCAUGCGAACAUGCUAAUUAGUAGCUGCACUACAUUCCUGAAGCUUUUUUGAACUAUUGGGAAACAUGAGAGUUGUUACACAGAAGUAAAUGGUUCUUGUUUCCAUUUCAAACAAAACGAAGGCUAAAAGUUGCUACUUCUGUAGUACUGCUAUAGAACAAUUAGUGUUUAGCUAGACUGUCAAUCUUACAGUUUGUUACUAACCGCUGCCUCUGUAGGCUUAUGUCCAAUGCUGGUGGAAAAGCACCUGGGGCUGGGAAGAAAGCAAAGCUGUAGCUAUCACGCACCGUGCAUGCAUGCAAUUAGAAUUUACAAAAACAAUUAGAAAUUGUGAAUUCUAAUCAGAUUCAUUGUAUUACCGGAUCUUUUGCAUAUCAGACUCUCCUUUCUGACAUCCGGUGAAGUUGUGGUGCAGGAGAAGAAUGAAGAUUUUAUAGCUCUAGCUUCCCCCUUCAGAUAGUCAUGCUCUCCUCCUGGUUUAACAUCCAGUUGUAGUGUGAUAGCUUUGGCACACUUUAAUGUAAUUGUUCUGGUUUAAGAUCCAGCUAUAGUGUGAUAGCUUCGACACCCUUUCACACACACACACCCACACCCACACCCAAAUGAAAUGUAUAGAUCUCGCAUAUUUUAUCUGUCUACUUGUUUUAUGAGGAAACAACUCGACUAAUGGUUAAUGAUCAGGUGUUGGGAACAAAAGGUGGAAUGCUCAUUAAUUAUUAACUGUCUUUGCUGUUCUUACCA